This is a long non-coding RNA of Musa acuminata AAA Group (dessert banana), 1797 nucleotides long. RefSeq lists it as uncharacterized. NCBI's taxonomy places the organism in Eukaryota, Viridiplantae, Streptophyta, Magnoliopsida, Zingiberales, Musaceae. The transcript has 3 exons. The record is from RefSeq and is a predicted model, not a curated record.
CAGAAUCAACGCCUGGAUCCCCAAUUCCCCUUCCCCGUGCGCCGUAAGCGAGACAUACAGCUGGGCGUGCGCCAUCCCCUCCAUCAACCCCACCAUCGUCGACGCGAUCGCAAUCUGGUUCCCGAGUUUGGCACUCUGCCCCUUGCCCUGCUCAGCCCUUGUACCUCGCCGUUCCCAUGCACCCCGAACUGCGGCCCCAGCUGCUCCGUCCAUCUACCAGCGAUCUCGGCUGCGAGGGUGAGGUCGCUGGUGGUCAUGUAGACGAGGAUGGAGCCCGGGGCCAGGCCGGAGAGAGCUCCUUCGGAGGGAUCGAGGGUGACUCGGCGGACGUCGGAACGGUAGCCGACGAUGAGGAAUACGACAUUGCUGGCGCGCGCUACGGCAGCGGAGGAGCCGGCCAGUUUGGCACCCCGAUCGAGUCCGUGAUGCCGGUCCCGAUCCAGUCUAUCCAGGUCGUGAUCGGGUAUAUGGUCGAUCUGUCGAGAGAGCAGCGGCCAUGGCGGAGCACCGACAGCGGAUCACGGAGUGAGGGCGGUGGAGAUGGCGGAGGAACGCCGGGAAGCGAGCGGGCAUCGGGAGUAUGAUCAGUGGCACAUCGGAUAUAUAGCUGGGUGUGUUCAAGAUGGUGAAGUUCACUGUGGAAAAGCUCCGGAAUAUGAUGGACAAGAAGCAUGACAUCCGCAACAUGUCUGUCAUUGCUCAUGUUGAUCAUGAAGACGAUGAGUAAUGAGAGAUGACAGAUGUUUCUUGGAGCUCCAGGUUGAAGGUGAGGAAGCGUAUCAGACAUUUCGACGUGUCGUUGAGACUGCAGAUGUGGUCAUGGCUACCUACGAAGAUCCCCUUCUUGGUGAUGUUCAAGUCCAUCCUGAGCACCGGACUGUUUUCUCUGCCGGAUUGCAUGGCUGGACUUUGCCAAGAAGUAUGCAGCCAAAUUUGGAGUCGAUGAGUUGAAGAAUGAGUUGAAGAACACGGAUUCUCCUACCUGUAAGCGUUGUCCAACUUUGCUAUGAACCAACCGGACAAAUUAUCGAUCUUUGCAUGACGGAUCAGAAAGAGAGGUGGUGGGUGACAUAUGCUGCAGAAACUUGGUGUCACCAUGAAAGCAGAGGAGAGACAACUGACGGGUAAAGCUUUCACGAAGAGGGUCAUGCAAGCUUGGCUGCCGGCAAGCGAUGCCCUUAUUGAGAUGAUAUCUUCCACCUUCCUUCUCCUGCCAAGGCACAAAAGUAUCGUGCGGAGAACGUGUACGAAGGUCCACUCGAUGAUGUGUAUACAAAUGCAAUCAGAAACUGUGAUCAGGACGGCCCUCUUAUGCCGUAUGUAUCGAAGAUGAUUCCAGCUUCGGACAAGGGCGGAUUCUUCGCUUUCAGACAAGUCUUUUCCCGGAAGGCUUCAACAGGAAGCAGAGUUCGAAUCAUGGGACCAAACUACGUUCCCGGGCAAAAGAAAGACCUGUACGUGAAGAGCGUCCAAAGAAGAGACAUAUAUGGAUGGGAAAGAAACAAGAGGCAGUCAAGGACGUGCCUGCCUUGUGGGAAUACAGUGGACAUGCUUGGAUUGGAUCAGUUCAUCACCAAGAAUGCGAACGAGCAGGAAGCCGAUGCUUUUCCGAUCAGGGCGAUGAAGUUCUCUGUAUCCCCUGGCGUACGUGUUGCCGUGCAUGUAAAAUUCUAAUCCAGUGAUAUUUUUAUGACACAUCUUCUAACCUCUUUUUUCUUUAUGUAUUUUUUUAUCAUGUUCAAUACAAGAUCGGUUCUUGUAUCAUUUAUCGGGACGUCUAAUACCAUAUCUAUUCCG